CCAAGGAGGAAGGAGCUCUCUCUCUCUUGGAAGAGAGGAGCAGCCUGACUGAAGGUGCAGUGUCUGACAUGGUUGAGGGAUGGAGUAUUACCUGAUAUGGAUUCAGCUUCGCAUUGACUUCUUGACAAGCUUCAGUAAGAGCAAAAUGUGUGAUGCCACCAACUACAGAAUGGAAGGGAAGAGAGAACAGCCACAGGAAGACCAAUGCCAAUAUGAUCACAAUCCAUCAUCGCAUCACCACAAGUGCAGUAUGUUUGAAUACAUCCACAUUUCAUCCAGAGGGAGCUUAGUCCUGUCUAAUAAA
This is a long non-coding RNA of Alligator mississippiensis (American alligator), 304 nucleotides long. RefSeq lists it as uncharacterized. The record is from RefSeq and is a predicted model, not a curated record. Lineage: Eukaryota; Metazoa; Chordata; Crocodylia; Alligatoridae. The transcript has 3 exons.